GGCAGCAGAAAUGUACUCCUACAUUAACGAUAACCACUAGUUUCAAAUACAAAGACAUGAUGUAGCAAAUAAAGGAACCACCCAAAACCAUAACAGAAACUUUAAGUCAUUUUGACUUUUUUUAAUUAAUACUCCCUCCGUCCAUCUAUGGAAGAUAUAUUUGGGUGCGACGCGAUGACCAAGGAGACUAAGCGCAUGCACGAUCGCCCCUUAAUUAGCCGUGUCCAUUUACUCCGCAUGCGGCUGUUGGAUUACCGAGCAUUUAUUCCGCUAAACUCUCCACAAACGCCGUUUGCGCGCUGAGCUUUCCUUUUCCCCAUGCGAACUUUACGAGGAGGCCGCCUCGCGUACGAUGAGCUCCGAUGCCUGGGAAACCGGCCCGUACACAAUAUAUCUCCAAUUUUUGGAAAAAUUUUUUUUGGUAAUAUAUCUCCGAUAGAUGGACGGAGGGAGUACUAUAUACAUACUCCUUCCGUUCCAAAGUUAUUCUGGCUUUUACUGCCUGACCGGUGUUACUGCCUGCAAAAACAAUGGGAAAAACAUCUGGAAAUUAGAACCAGGCUAAUACUACCAGUACAAUACAACUACAAAAGAGGAACUGCAUAAGCAGGAAAAAUGGAUCUGCCG
RNAcentral lists this long non-coding RNA (627 nucleotides) under Sorghum bicolor (sorghum). RNAcentral's name for it is "long non-coding RNA (SBIC_LNC011373)". The record is from RNAcentral. Lineage: Eukaryota; Viridiplantae; Streptophyta; Magnoliopsida; Poales; Poaceae.